GUUACUAGUAAUCGCAGAUCAGAAUGCUGCGGUGAAUGCGUUCCCGGGUCUUGUACACACCGCCCGUCACACCACGGGAGUUGGAGACGCCCGAAGCCGAUUAUCUAACCUUUUGGAAGAAGUCGGCGAAGGUGGAAUCAAUAACUGGGGUGAAGUCGUAACAAGGUAGCCGGAUCGGAAGGUGCGGCUGGAUCACCUCCUUUCUAAGGAGA
RNAcentral lists this ribosomal RNA (212 nucleotides) under Clostridioides difficile. RNAcentral's name for it is "partial 16S ribosomal RNA". It matches the Rfam family "Bacterial small subunit ribosomal RNA", at positions 1331 to 1533 of the family's 1533-position model. Lineage: Bacteria; Bacillati; Bacillota; Clostridia; Peptostreptococcales; Peptostreptococcaceae. The record is from RNAcentral.